UACCUGCAGCUCAAGUGGUGACCGCUAUUAUUGGGCCUAAAACGUCCGUAGCCUGCCGAGUAAAUGCCUGGGUAAAUCGUGUCGCUUAACGAUACGAAUUCCGGGUAGACUGCCUGGCUUGGGACCGGAAGAAGUUAGAGGUACUCCUGGGGUAGGGGUGAAAUCCUGUAAUCCUGGGGGGACCACCAGUGGCGAAAGCGUCUAACUAGGACGGGUCUGACGGUGAGGGACGAAACCCUGGGGCGCAAACCGGAUUAGAUACCCGGGUAGUCCAGGGCGCAAACGCUGCUUGCUUGAUGUUAGUUGGGCUCCGAGCUCAGCUAGUGUCGGAGAGAAGUUGUUAAGCAAGCUGCCUGGGAAGUACGAUCGCAAGAUUGAAACUUAAAGGAAUUGGCGGGGGAGCACAGCAGCGGGUGGAGCGUGCGGUUU
This 429-nucleotide ribosomal RNA is filed under the name uncultured archaeon. Its description in RNAcentral is "bacterial SSU rRNA". It matches the Rfam family "Archaeal small subunit ribosomal RNA", at positions 474 to 903 of the family's 1478-position model. The record is from RNAcentral.